GUAGGUGAACCUGCGGAAGGAUCAUUAGUGAAUUUUAGGGUGCUCUCUCCGUUUUCACCUCUCUUGCUCUCCCACUUAACUGGUUGAGCAAGAAGGCAAGCGGGCAAGAGAGGCCUGACCUCCACUUUCUACCCUGUGCAUUAUUUCUAAAGGUCUUUCUUGCUUUCUGUGAAAGCAGCUUGCAAGAAAGCCUUUUCAAUUUUAUAAACAUGAGUUUAAGAAUGUAAAAAAAAUCAUAACAAAAAAAAAC
This 250-nucleotide unclassified non-coding RNA is filed under the name plant metagenome. Its description in RNAcentral is "partial contains small subunit ribosomal RNA, internal transcribed spacer 1, and 5.8S ribosomal RNA". The record is from RNAcentral.